This 253-nucleotide ribosomal RNA is filed under the name uncultured bacterium. Its description in RNAcentral is "partial 16S ribosomal RNA". It matches the Rfam family "Bacterial small subunit ribosomal RNA", at positions 524 to 776 of the family's 1533-position model. The record is from RNAcentral.
UACGUAUGGUGCAAGCGUUAUCCGGAUUUAUUGGGUGUAAAGGGCGUGUAGGCGGGAGCGCAAGUCAGAUGUGAAAACUCAGGGCUCAACCCUGAGCCUGCAUUUGAAACUGUGUUUCUUGAGUGCUGGAGAGGCAAUCGGAAUUCCUGGUGUAGCGGUGAAAUGCGUAGAUAUUAGGAGGAACACCAGUGGCGAAGGCGGAUUGCUGGACAGUAACUGACGCUGAGGCGCGAAAGCGUGGGGAGCAAACAGG